UAGCUGUCUGAAGGAGACAAAUUUGGCAGUCCCCUUGAUUAGGAAGAAAGUACUCCCCAUGGCUUCUAAGCCCACACACACCACAUAAGUCAUGGCUCCCACCUUGUGCUUUUUA
Myotis brandtii (Brandt's bat) is the source of this 115-nucleotide non-coding RNA. NCBI's taxonomy places the organism in Eukaryota, Metazoa, Chordata, Mammalia, Chiroptera, Vespertilionidae. The record is from Rfam.